This 253-nucleotide ribosomal RNA is filed under the name uncultured bacterium. Its description in RNAcentral is "partial 16S ribosomal RNA". It matches the Rfam family "Bacterial small subunit ribosomal RNA", at positions 524 to 776 of the family's 1533-position model. The record is from RNAcentral.
UACAGAGGGGGCGAGCGUUAUUCGGAAUUAUUGGGCGUAAAGGGCGCGUAGGCGGCUUUUCAAGUGACGGGUGAAAUCCCUCGGCUUAACCGAGGAACUGCCUGUCAGACUGGAAGGCUUGAGACCGGGAGAGGUGAGUGGAAUUCCCAGUGUAGCGGUGAAAUGCGUAGAUAUUGGGAGGAACACCAGUGGCGAAGGCGGCUCACUGGACCGGAACUGACGCUGAGACGCGAAAGCGUGGGGAGCAAACAGG